Long non-coding RNA from Harmonia axyridis, 623 nucleotides. RefSeq lists it as uncharacterized. NCBI's taxonomy places the organism in Eukaryota, Metazoa, Arthropoda, Insecta, Coleoptera, Coccinellidae. The transcript is spliced from 2 exons. The record is from RefSeq and is a predicted model, not a curated record.
UCAAAAUUAUCGUAGGAAAAGAUAUAAAAAUACAUAACAUAAUUUGAUUGACUUCCAUUCAAACAGUUGUAUGAAGUACACUGAUAAUUUACACUAUUUUGGAUGCAUACUUUGUCUACAAAUUUGUCUUUAAUAGUUCCAUCGAUAAAACCCAAACAGUUUGGUACAGCUCCUACCAUAUUACGAAUUGAUAGACUAUAAACGAAUUAGGGAUAUAUAAUUUAAGUUCAAUUCAGCUAAUAGCUUACCCGUGCAUAUAGUUGAUGAUAACUAUUUCUACAAAGCCACUUUUGUGCAUUCAAAUUAUCUUAAAAAUGUCCAUGAUAUUCCACAAUGAAGUUUGCAAUUAUAACAAUUAACUUAAUUUUUAGUUUAACGCCCCCUCCCCAAUUUUGAGAAUAUUUUGUAUAGUGAUUUGUUAUGAUGUUUUCAUGCGAUAUUUCCAAUAAGAGUACUGGCAAAUAAAUAGUUCUUGGGAUAGUCGAAAAAAAAAAUGAUAUUUCAACAGUGGCGACGCUAGGGGGGAGGGCGGUGCCGGAGACACCGGUGCUCAACCCUUCACUCCGUCUAGAUAAGCGGAGAAAAGGGUGCGAAUUGUGGACCAUAGAUUACAAUAAUAUUAA